Molecule: transfer RNA, 74 nt
Filed under: Staphylococcus aureus
Lineage: Bacteria; Bacillati; Bacillota; Bacilli; Caryophanales; Staphylococcaceae
Description: tRNA-Met(cat)
Rfam family: tRNA
About the family: Transfer RNA (tRNA) molecules are approximately 80 nucleotides in length.
Source: RNAcentral
CGCGGGAUGGAGCAGUUCGGUAGCUCGUCGGGCUCAUAACCCGAAGGUCGGUGGGUCAAAUCCGCCUCCCGCAA